AUGCUGCGCCAAGCUAUGGGGCGGCCUUCCCACCUCACGCCGACUGGAUCAUGGAUACAGGCGCCUCUUCCCACGUCACCGGGGACCCAGGAUCUUCGAACCAAGGCGGUCCUUCUGAGGUGCAAUAGCUCUGGUGACCUCUACCGCUUCUCCGGCGGCCGUGGCGACACUCCUCCGGUGGCCUUCACCAUUUCUCCGUCGGAUCUUUGGCAUCAAAGGCUCGGGCACCCGAGCUCCUCUUCCUUAGUUUAUUUUCCCUUUGAUGUUUCCCCAACAUGUAAUAAAGUUCCACCGUCACCAUUAUGUACCGCUUGCCAAUUGGGCAAACAUGCACGCCUACCCUUCCCCACCUCUUCCUCCUAUACCACUGCACCUUUUCAACUGUUGCAUUGUGACUUGUGGACCUCUCCAAUAGUUAGUUUUUCGGGUUACAAAUAUUAUCUUGUCAUUUUGGAUGAUUACACGCAUUAUUCC
This 474-nucleotide ribosomal RNA is filed under the name Triticum aestivum (bread wheat). RNAcentral describes it as "partial small subunit ribosomal RNA". The record is from RNAcentral. Lineage: Eukaryota; Viridiplantae; Streptophyta; Magnoliopsida; Poales; Poaceae.